RNAcentral lists this transfer RNA (67 nucleotides) under Ranina ranina. RNAcentral's name for it is "tRNA-Cys". The record is from RNAcentral. Lineage: Eukaryota; Metazoa; Arthropoda; Malacostraca; Decapoda; Raninidae.
GGCUUUAUAGUGGAAAAAAAGACGUUAAAUUGCAAAUUUAAAGAUGUGUGUACUAGCACUGAAGCUU